UACCCUAUGUACACUAUGCACAAUGAACGAAUCUUGAUGGUUGUUUAUAGAAAAAGAAAGUUUGAAAAGUUCAUGCACUUCAGAAAAGAGCACACGAGUAGAUAAACUAUGUGUGUUAUAAUAGUAUAGAUAAAUGAGCCUUGUGAGAGCAGCAGUGUUUUUUUAUUUUGUUAUCUUAGGUGGAUGCUGCAUAACGUUGCUGAAGUGAUUGCUCCAAGGCAUGCCAGCAUCGUGUUCUCGUGGAAAUCCAAAGUAGAAAUAUUAAAUUACAAUAGAAAAAUUGAAUGGUCGUUUCUGGGAUAUUGAAAUUUGAAAUAAGUGUGUAUAUAUGGGCGUGAGAUGCUUUAAUUUUGGUAGCUGAAGCAAUCUUGUCCUUUGUUAAUGACAGCUCCAAGACCUAAUUGCAGGGACAAAGUUUGGUUGCAGUUGCUUCUUAUAUGUGGGCUUGGAAACAUAAAUGUAGAUGUGACAUCAAAUGUCAAGUGUGUCCAAACUCAUGUAAUAUUUUAUAUGUUUUUAUUUUCUGUGUGAAUUUCAUCAUUAGAAAAGAGCAGUUGCAACUUUUCCCCUGAAGUUUCCAGCAACACUAAUUUCUAGAAACAAUGUGAAGUUUGCUUUGAUUUUCUGAUGCCAUUUGGUGUGUUGUUACUUUUUUUCCUGUUUCUUCAAAUUGAGGUUGCAUUUACAUGCCAACCAACUUUGAAGAUGGUGUGCAGAGUUUUCAAAGUUGUGAACUGCUUGUGAGAAAAGAUGUAUCAUUGUGAUGUGUUGAAAAGAUGAUGAGGUAGGUCAGGUGAAUGGAUUUUUCAUGUGUUUGAAUAUAGGGUGGACUUAGUCUUUCUACUCACUUCUUUCACUCUCUUUAGUUAGUCUUUUUUUCCCUUCUUAUCUAAUCAAAGAUUCAACUAAAGAGAGAAACUAUUUUGAGAUCAUUUUAAUUAUUUCAAUUCUUUUGUACAUAAAAAUUGUUCAUAGUUAAAGGAUUUGGG
Molecule: long non-coding RNA, 989 nt
Filed under: Phaseolus vulgaris (common bean)
Lineage: Eukaryota; Viridiplantae; Streptophyta; Magnoliopsida; Fabales; Fabaceae
Description: long non-coding RNA (PVUL_LNC002729)
Source: RNAcentral